RNAcentral lists this long non-coding RNA (3052 nucleotides) under Lactuca sativa (garden lettuce). Its description in RNAcentral is "long non-coding RNA (LSAT_LNC007918)". Lineage: Eukaryota; Viridiplantae; Streptophyta; Magnoliopsida; Asterales; Asteraceae. The record is from RNAcentral.
GAACAAAAACACUUUGUGGUAAUGAUUCUAAUCCAAAACAAGCCCAAAAAACUCGAAAAUCUGCAUUCUAGGAGACCAACUCGUCGAGUUCUGCGAACUCAUCGAGUUCAUGUCUUAACACAUGAACUCGUUGAGUUUUUAGCCAGAACUCGUCGAGUUUAUAGUCUGGGCAGAUUUUAAGCUUUGGAAAAUAAGUUUCAUCAUGUAUAACUGAAAAAAAACCCAUGGCUCUGAUACCACUGCUGGGUUUUAGUAUACUAUAAUAUCCUAUGGUGCAUAUACAACCCUAAAUACCUUGGAUCUAUGUUUUCACUAAUUAUACAUGCAAAUGGUUUCCAAGGUAUUAAACCUAUAACUAACAUGCAAUUGACGUAAACCAUAUAAAAUACUAGUUAGGAUAACAUACCUUUUGAUGGAGCUUGAAGUCUUGAUGCAUUUGGCCUUAAAGAGCUUAGCCCCAAUAAUGUGAAAGCCUCAAGUGGAAUCACAACACAUCGUGGACAAAGGAGAAACUUGAGAGAGAAUUCCUAUGCACCCAAAAACACCACCAACUACAAGAAUACACAUGUCAACGUUUUUUAGGUUAAGAGCAUGUAUUUAUAUGUUGGAUUUCAAGGGUCAUGGGUAUAACCCAAAUCCAUACCCAUGGGUUUACGAUCCAUGGUUCAUGUGGCCCAACUCUUUAUGUAUCCAUACAUAAACUUGGUCCAACAUAGAUCAUAAGCCCAAUACAGCCCAAUACAUAUAAAUGUAACUAAUCAACAUAAUUAGUCCCCAUAUAUUUAAUUAGUUUCUUUUGAUCACUGAAUUAAUUCCAAAUUAAUUCUUGAUCAAUACUAAUCAACUCAUAUGAUUUCAUAUUAAUAUAUUAUAACUUAUAAUAUAUUAAUAAAUCAUAUAUAACCUCUUCUCUCAAAAGUCUAUCCUAAUAAAUUGUUGUGAUGAUAUGCAACCCGAAUGGACCAUGCUACUCUCGGGUUAAGUACAUACCAAUAAUAGUUAUGGGCUUAGACAUCUAAUUCAACAGUUCUGGAUAAUACUUUUAUUCUCUAUAACUCCUAUAAUAUAUACUAAAACUGAACAUUACAUUGUUUUAUUUUGGUUUUCAUAUUAAAUGUCUCAACAAAAUUCUUAUGCUUCCAACAAGAAAUUCUCACGCUUAAGCAAAUGGUAAUGGUUCUUUUUGGGUGUAUACAAACAUUGUUGAAGCAAGGUUUAAGAAGGUUAUACAUUCUUAUGAAGUUAUAAAUUCUGAAAUAAGUAACAUCAAGUAAAGAAAAAGAAGCUUAGUGAAGAACGGAAACUCAGUUUGAAGCCUGGUGAAGAAUGGAAAGUAAGACAACAAUAUUCGUUCAUAAUGCAUUAUCAAUUUUUUCUGUCAGAAUUAUUAGCAACAAUAUUCUAUCAGAAUGUAUUAGUGUUUUAGAUUUAAUUGUUUUUAUUUGAUUUUUAAGUUUUAUUCUUAAAGAAUAAAUGUAAUUGUUAACAAUUACUACUUGUAUUCUUUCAGAAUGAAUGUCAUUUAUGUGUGUUCAUUGUUGUAUUUGUUAAGAAUAAAUGUAAUUACUAAUUUUAAGAUAUUAAAAUUUUUUUCAUAUAAAAUUUGUAUUCAUUAAAAAUUAUUAAUAUUGAUAAUAUAUGUUUAUAUUAUUCUGUCAGAAUUUAAUGUUUUUUUCAAGAUAAUCAUAAACAUAUUCUUUUAGAAUGUUCAAUUAAUAUAUUUAUAAUCCAAAAACUCAGAUUUUUAAAGCUUAGAGAAUUAAUUAUUCCUUAAAAUCUGCAAUUUUUCUUUUUUAAAAUUAUGUUAAUUGACUAAAAUACCCUUAGAAUGAAAUUAGAUGAUAUUUUUUUAAUUAUCUUUAUUUUAAUAAUAUAUAUUAAUCACUUUUUUAAAAUAAGUAAAAUGAUUGGUCCAUAAUCAUUCCUACAUCCACACAAUAAUUAGUUAGAAUAUAAUAAUCUAAGUCACUCUCUCUUUUUUUUUCUCUCUCUCUCUCUCUCUCUCUCUCUUUAUAUAUAUAUAUAUAUAUAUAUAUANGAAGGGAUAAUAAUAAUAAAUAUUCAUUUCAUUAAAUUAUUAAAAUUCUCGAAUAAUAUAUAUAUAUAUAUCUUAUCUUACUACUUUAUAGUCUUAAAACAAGGAGACCAAAUCAUAACCUUCUAUUUUACAACCAAUCAAAAACAAAUUAAAUUUACAAACACAAAAUCACACAAUAUAAAACCAAAGCCGGUUAAUAUAAUUUACAAAACCUUUCAUUAUUUUUAUUCACUCUCUCUCACCUCAUCCAUGAACUCUCUUCAACUCUAAGCGAGCCAUAAAACUACAGGCCUUGACCACCGACACCUCCACAAAUGUCUCACCAUUGCUGCUACCUAUUUCAUCCAGUAGCGCCACCUGCGAGUCACCCUAUAUGCACCGCCUGUGCAACAACCCCACCGCAUCACAUGCGAGCCACCUUCACCACCACGACCCUUACCAUUCACACAUCUGCCGAACACCAAUAGUUCUUAGCAUCUUCGUCAAACCAUAGAUCUAUAUUGUGGUUGCCACCAUCAAGAUUCUCCACUACUGCAUGCAUCAGUUGACGUCGCUGCCGAACACCCUCGAUACUAUGCGCCACCUUGAAGCCCUAAAUCUUUAUGAUUGUCACCUCCAUAAUUGUCAAACACUCACUUUAUCUUCCGAAGCCACUGUGGGAUUAGAUAAGAAAAUAUAAAAGCAAUAUAUGGCUGUUUUUUUAGACAAAUCUCUAUUUGAUCAAAAAUAUUUAGGCAAUGGUGUCUGUUUCUUUACGGAUCUUGAAAGAAGUAUGUGUUAGAUCUGUUUUAAGAUAAAAAAAUAAUGUCCUCAUAUUUAAUGCGUAAAUGUUUUUCUAUAUUUUGAUCUAUGUAUGUGCAUUAGUUGUAUGUGCAAGCUAUAAAUCUGUUUCUAUGUUAUAGAUAUGUAAUUUGUCUUUUAAUAAUAUAUCUAUAUACCAGAAUUGGUGAGAUGCAUGAAGAUUAGAUUUGAGAAAAAGAAUGUAAGUUUUUUUUGAAUAAAACGAAUAUUUGC